CACUGCUGUGGAGGGAUUUUGCCGAUGUAAUUAAGGGAAAGGAUCUUCAAAUAGGGAGACUAGCCUGGAUUAUACAGGUGGGUCCAAUCUAAUCACUUGAGCAUUGAGAAGCCGAGAAUUAUCUUCAGCUGGAUUCAAAGAGAUGUGGUGGAGGAGGACAGCAGGAUGAGGAGGCCAAAGGGGUAGUUAAAGAGAUGUGAAUCAAGAGAAGGGCUGGACCUCCCCCGAUAGCUUUGAAUGUGAAGGGAGGGGGCCUUCAGAAGCUGAGAAAGACUCCAGCUGACAACCCAAAAGGAAUUGGGGCUUCAGUUCUGCAACCACAUGGAACUGAAUUCAACCAACAACUUGAACGACUUUGGAAGCAGUCGUUUUUCCUAGAGUCUACUGCUAAGAACCCAGUGGCAACACCUUGAUUUCAGGCUUGUGAGACCUGGAGCAAUGAAGCCCACUGGACUGGUGAUCUACAGAAAAAGAAGAGAAGAACCCAUUUAAAGAGAAGAACCCAUUUAAAGAGAAGAAGGAAAAGUGUGUAUCAGGCAGAGACAACAGUCUGUGCAAAGGUUGGAAGUAGGAAAAAUCUCAAUGUGCCCUGAGAGCUGAAAGGAGCUCGCUGUGGUUGGGAACGCUGGUAUGGAGAGGCACCAGAAAGAUUGCUCUGGCUGCGGUGUCUCCACACUGUUGGGGAUCAAAACAAGAGGAAGACCAGUUAGGAGUCUAUCGCAGGAAUCCAGGGAACCACGAAAGUGAAGCUGUGAAAACCCUGAAUGCUGAAGAGUGUGGAGAAUCCCAGACGAUGAAGAACCAGAGAAUCUCGAAGCUCUGUCUACCUACACCUCUGACUCAUGUAUGUGCAGAACAGACUCAGAUUAAAAACACAACGUUGAGGUGAGCCUGGAACUGUUGCCCAAGGAACAGGGUUUGAAGUUCAGGUCUAGCUAGACUAAUUAGCUGUUGAAGGAAACAACACUCACUGGAGAAAACUGGCAGAAUUCUGAAUCUUCACCAAUUAACAUUAGUAACGUUGAAGAUAUGAUCGAAAA
This 1040-nucleotide long non-coding RNA is filed under the name Equus asinus (donkey). RNAcentral describes it as "lncRNA (ENSEASG00005031206.1)". The record is from RNAcentral. Lineage: Eukaryota; Metazoa; Chordata; Mammalia; Perissodactyla; Equidae.